Molecule: ribosomal RNA, 275 nt
Filed under: uncultured bacterium
Lineage: Bacteria
Description: partial 16S ribosomal RNA
Rfam family: Bacterial small subunit ribosomal RNA
Source: RNAcentral
CCUACGGGAGGCUGCAGUGGGGAAUAUUGCACAAUGGGCGCAAGCCUGAUGCAGCGACGCCGCGUGGAGGAUGAAGGUUUUCGGAUUGUAAACUCCUGUUAAGUGGGAAGAAAGGCAUGUACCUAAUACGUACGUGAGAUGACGGUACCACUAGAGAAAGCACCGGCAAACUUCGUGCCAGCAGCCGCGGUAAUACGAAGGGUGCAAGCGUUAUUCGGAAUGACUGGGCGUAAAGAGCGUGAAGGCGGUUUUCUAAGUCAACUGUUAAAGCACUC